GGUCCGUCUUGAACUUCAGACACUGGGAAAAGGAAAAACAUUCCAUAGCAUGAAUAAAGGCACCACUGAAGAAGACAGGAAAAACAAAGGAAUUCAGUAAUCUUUCUCCUUAUUUUCUUCUUCCAGUUGCAGAGAGCAGAGUGAUGCUAGGGGUGGUAGCACAAUAUGCAGAAGGGGAAAUUAAUAAUAUUUCAAAUAUUGGCGCUAAUGUUUUCCACCUAGCAUCAUUAUCACAUAGAAAUUAAAUCCCAUAGCACAUAAUCACUGAGCUAUUGUCUAACUAACCUGCAACUGAUAGAACUAUAGAAUGCUUUCUUCAAUAAUUUUUUGGUUA
RNAcentral lists this unclassified non-coding RNA (334 nucleotides) under Hevea brasiliensis (rubber tree). The record is from RNAcentral. Lineage: Eukaryota; Viridiplantae; Streptophyta; Magnoliopsida; Malpighiales; Euphorbiaceae.